Long non-coding RNA from Salvia miltiorrhiza (redroot sage), 901 nucleotides. RefSeq lists it as uncharacterized. The record is from RefSeq and is a predicted model, not a curated record. The transcript has 2 exons. Lineage: Eukaryota; Viridiplantae; Streptophyta; Magnoliopsida; Lamiales; Lamiaceae.
AUUGUAUGAUUGAGAGUUAAUUCACUUAUUUUUUAAUUGAAUCAAAUUUUGGCGCCGUUGUUGAAAAAUGUCUUAGACGAUUGUCUGUGCCUGCUUUCGUUAUUUACUUAAUAAUUAGAUAAAAUUUUCAAUGGCCAACUUAAGUUGACCAUGUAAUAUUGACAAAAGUUGAAUUGAUAUUAAAAUAUUUAGUGUGAAUGAAACUAGUAUAUAUGUUCAAAAGAAUGAUAUAUAAUUAAUAUUACUAAAUCAGCUUCUAAUGAUACAUCAAACUAUAUGUAUCUAUGUUAUUAGGGAAGCCAUAUUAAUUUUAAAGGAAUUUGUUCAUUUUCUUUACCUUGAGCUUCGAGACAACGAAGCUAAAUGCAGAAAUUAUAAGAACUAUAAAAAAAAAACAAUUAAAUUAAAGAUGAGAAUCGAACCGUACCGAUUAUUCAUCAAAAAGUGGAUUAAUUAACUUAUUCCAAUUUCCUUCAUAGAAACAACAAUAACUUAAUUUAAUUAUAUAUGAUGUAUUUGAAACGCAUAAUAGAAAUUACAUCAUACACUUUGGUCAAAAAAUAAAAAAGAAAUUACAUCAUACACACCCAACAUUAAUUUCUAUAACAUUAUUUUGGAAAGGCUUAACAUAUUCUGCAUGGAGUGGGUGGCGCCCCAGGCGCCCGCGGUGGAGACGGUGGCGCUUCCUGGCGACGCUCCCUGGCGGCGGCUGGUUGCGGUGGCUGCUGCUGCAGAGAGAUCCUAAGCCUUCUUUCGUUCCUUACAUAAGGACUGUGCAUUGAAAGAGCCAAGUGAUUGUGCAUUAGCAAGAAUCCCAUCAAGAAGAAGACUACACAGUGUGUAAACGGGAAUUUCAUUUUUUCCCCCUAUAUUAGUAUAUUAUUACCACUGACUUAAUCGU